This 85-nucleotide transfer RNA is filed under the name Candidatus Saccharibacteria bacterium RIFCSPHIGHO2_01_FULL_49_21. RNAcentral's name for it is "tRNA-Leu". It matches the Rfam family "tRNA". Rfam says of the family: Transfer RNA (tRNA) molecules are approximately 80 nucleotides in length. Their secondary structure includes four short double-helical elements and three loops (D, anti-codon, and T loops). Further hydrogen bonds mediate the characteristic L-shaped molecular structure. tRNAs have two regions of fundamental functional importance: the anti-codon, which is responsible for specific mRNA codon recognition, and the 3' end, to which the tRNAs corresponding amino acid is attached (by aminoacyl-tRNA synthetases). tRNAs cope with the degeneracy of the genetic code in two manners: having more than one tRNA (with a specific anti-codon) for a particular amino acid; and 'wobble' base-pairing, i.e. permitting non-standard base-pairing at the 3rd anti-codon position. RNAcentral also lists the same sequence under 2 other names. Lineage: Bacteria; Candidatus Saccharimonadota. The record is from RNAcentral.
GGGCGAGUGGCGGAAUUGGUAUACGCGCACGACUCAAAAUCGUGUUCCGCAAGGAUUGUGGGUUCGAUUCCCACCUCGCCCACCA